UCGAUGGUAUCAAAAGCCGCUGAGAGGUCUAACAGGACCAGAACAGAGGAACAACCCCUGUCCCGAGCCCUCCAGAGAUCAUCAACCAACGCGACCAAUGCCGUUUCCGUGCUGUGUCCAGGCCUGAAACCCGACUGGAACGGAUCUAGAUAGGAUGUUUCCCAUUGAUGAGAUCUGCAGGGCUGCGACCUGGGCUUCUCCGACGCCCUUUAUCCGCCACUACCGCUUGGACAAAUUCGCGUCGGCGGAUGCAGCAUUUGGACGACGGGUCCUACAACAGGUCCAAGCUGCCUCCUAAUCCCAGGGCCGGCCUGCUCCCUCCCGACUGGACACCUGCCUUUGACACGUCUUCUGCAGCUACGCCCUCGUCUCAAAACUGACAGCUACAGCCAGGAGGAGGGACUUCUUUGACUCUGCAGACCCGGUCCAAUCAAUACUCAACCAAGUCUCCUCCCAUCCUGACUGCAUCCUGACUGCCGUGCCCAACAGUCAGAGAAGAGGCGUAUCAGUGGAUGGAAGGCAGAUUGGGAUUUACAAAGAGUUGCCGCCUAAGAUGUUAAAAGACAGAAAAGAUUUUGGAUUUUUGGUGAUUGAACUAAAGAAACAACAGAUUCCAUACAGAUGGGAUGUCCCAGUUGGCAUAAGAUUGACAUAUCAAGGAGAAAGAUAUCGAUUAAAUACUGUUGAAAAAGCGGAAGAAUUUUAUCGCAAUUUUUUAAAAUUGGCCCAACAUCUCCACGUAUAUUGUCAGCGUCAGGAAUACAGGAGGGAGAUAAAGAAAAGCAAAUUGAACGAAAGACUAAAGUCCAGUGGAAGCAGAUGGAGGUGGAGCCAAUGGAAAUACAAGGAACUACAGGGGGCUCUUUGGAUGACUCACGCUUGGAUUAUCCUUUAAAGGUUUUAGCUGGACCACUUAAAAAAACAAGAAAAGUGGCUGUGGAUCUUGAUCUAAUGUCCUCCACAGUUAAAGAUCAGCAUACAACUCGAAUAGCAUAUAAACAAAUUCCAGAAAAGCAACAACAGCAUAGCUUCAAGCCACCACAAGGCAAGAAAAAAAAACUAGAAAGUUUUAGACCAAUAUUUCUUUUGAAUAUGGAUUAUAAAUUUUUGUAAAACUAUUAUCCAACAUAUCAAUGCCAGUUAUCUAAGAAUUGAUUUAUGUUUAUGUAGGACUUAUAGAAGGCAGAUAUAUGAAAGAUAAUGUGAGGCAAAUUAUAGGCUUAUUGGACUAUCUUGAGAAGAAUAAACAGAUCCCUGCAGUGCUGGUGUUUAAGCAUGUGGAGAAGGCCUAUAAUUGAGUGAAUUGGAACUUUCUAUUAUAGAUUUUAAGAAAGAUGGAUUAUGUGUACAUUGAAGGGAAUAAUUAUGAGGCAAGAGGACUACGGAACAAGGGCAUUUGCAGUUGAUCUGGUUGUUACCCUAACAUGAUUGAUGGAAUUAAUAAUCUAGAUGGAAGACUUUGCAGAAGAUAUUGUAUGCAAUAUAAAUAUAAAGUCACUCAGGGGGGUUUUAUACAUAAAAGUAUUUCUUAACAAUGUGGGCAGAUGGCAACUAAAGACACUAAAUACUCUGUUGGAAGAAGGAUCUGAUGUGAUUGUUUAGAUUUUAUAAAUAAUUAUAUAUGGCGGACCUGCGGGAAAGUGGGUGAAACAAAACUGAUAGGGUAUAUGGUGAUAAACUAGAUUAUACUGGAAAAGGGAUGUUAUUGAAGAAUGGACUCUGAAGCUGGCUAGUCUUGUAGAAAUGAUGAAGUUAUCAGCAUAUAUAAAAGAUCGGACACAAGAGAUUUAUGUAAGGGAGUGGAGGAUAGGUAUAGAUUAUGUGUAGAAUAAAUACUAAACUAAGAAGUAUUAGAUAAUUUUUAGAUGAAUGUUGUCUAGAAAUGUAUAGUUUACAGGGGAUAGUAUACUAGAAUGUCAGGAAGAAAUGUAUAAUUGGAUUUCAUUCUGGGGAAG
This is a long non-coding RNA of Pantherophis guttatus, 1955 nucleotides long. RefSeq lists it as uncharacterized. The record is from RefSeq and is a predicted model, not a curated record. NCBI's taxonomy places the organism in Eukaryota, Metazoa, Chordata, Lepidosauria, Squamata, Colubridae.